UGCCUCCAACUUAUAAUUAGCCAAAAAAAACUGAGUAUUUUAAAAAUUUAAAACCCUACGCUAUCAUUUCAUAUAGAAAAAGGUGAAGGUGUUGGUGGAGUUUUGGGUGGUGGAGGUGGAGGUUAUAUUGGUAAGUUGAGUCAGGGAUUGAGGACGAUUAGGUAUUAUGGUGAUGUAGUAUGGUAGCAGGGAAGGGCGAGGAACCAGAUGAGUCAAUUUGGGUGCUCGUCGGAGAAACUAGCGGCGGAAUUGCUAUGGCUUGCUCAGAAGAUGGUAGCUUGUGUUUGUGUUGAUGAAGCUGUUUAUAUGUAGGCUUUGGCUUCGCAUGUGGCUUGGCUUGCUCUUUCUGCUGAACCGCGGCUUCAGGGGUCUCUUGUUAAGGUUUCAGCAUUGGAGUCCAGUCAGGCAAGGCUGCUGGAAUGAAGGUAGAAGCUGUGCCAUCUUUCCAUUCUGAAUAUAGAUUGAUAUUCAAUAGCUGAUUCAAGCUUCGUUGACUCCUAGAGUUAGAUCCAGAACUGUGGGAUCUCCCACCAUUUGUUGAUUGGGUUGUCAUGUGUUGCUGAUUGAACCUGUUUCUUUCAGAGGUCUUUACAAAAAUGGCCUACUUCAUGAUGUUGCAGAUGUCGGUCCAUCUACUCUACCCGAUCAAAUGCUUGGAUUUUAUUUUGGUUAGGCAAAACCUGAGGCAUAUGAGUUUAUAAAGAUUGUUCUUGGAAUUGGUUAGGAAGAGGGCAACUACAAUUCUAAGAGAAAGACGGUACAACAAAAUGGAGACAUGCAUAACACCUAACAAUGGCAACAGUGAGAUUCUGCAGAGACUAUUUCUUCUACAGAAUGCAUUUACUGCUGCUUUGGAGUCACUACAACAUUUUUGUCUUUUGACCGCACUAAAUGUGAGCAGUGGUAAAACUUGCCCUGUGGCUUUACUGGAAAAUCUCAGGGAAUGACAUUGUUCACGCCUAUGCAAAGCUGCAGCUGAGUAAGACAUAUAUAACAAGCACCUGCAAUGGGUUCUAUAGAUUGGCUUAAGAAUGUAAUCAGUAUGAGAAAGGCAAAGGUUGGCUUAAAAAUUUCAGGUGUAUAUCAUCAAUUCAUUUAGUUCCAUAUCAAUUUCUUUGAAAGAGCAGUUAACUCAAAUAAUUUCACCGGUGAGAUCCCACCAAUUCUUGGCAAUCUGUCAAAACUCUACUGGCUUGAUCUAGCAGAUAAUGUUAACAGGAUCGAUUCCCAUUUCAACCUUCUGAAGAAAGCAGAACACUUGAUCAAUGUGGGGCAUCAAAUUUGAAUGGUGGGGCCACAAUUCAACUUGACCGAGAUUGAAGUGAAUAAUGAAUUUUUGAAAUAUUUUGAUAUACGUUUAUAUACAUUUGGUUUUGUGUGGAACUUGAUACAAUUUUUUUAUUAUGUUGCUUUCUUAUUAGUAUGUAAAUGACAUAUUUUUUUGAAAUCAAAUCCAUGCACUUCAAUUAUUUAUUAGG
This is a long non-coding RNA of Capsicum annuum, 1478 nucleotides long. RefSeq lists it as uncharacterized. The record is from RefSeq and is a predicted model, not a curated record. The transcript has 8 exons. NCBI's taxonomy places the organism in Eukaryota, Viridiplantae, Streptophyta, Magnoliopsida, Solanales, Solanaceae.